UUUUUAUAUCUUUUAGAUUAAAUAUUUAUGUCUUUUUAAAAUUUGAUUAAAAUGUUUUGACUAAUAAACAUCUUUCGCAUUUUCAGUUAAUUUAAAUUACAACUCAUUUGUAUUUUUUUUAAAUAAAAUGUUAAGUAUUAAUUUCUGAAUUUAUCCUCUAAGUUGUUGGAUGUGUUUUUUUUCUUAUUUAGUGGGAUAUUGGUUAUUAACUCUAUUAUCUCUUUUUUCAAUUAUAUUCUUUCGAUCAAAAUAAAUUGUCAUGUCCUACAAACAUUAAAUAUUCUAUCUUUUUCCAAAUGGGUUGUUUUUAUGGAUUUUUUUCCAAAUCGUUGGUGAUCCACAUUAAUUUUUGGAAGUUUUAACGAAAAGCCCACGGUACUGUUAAUUUUAAUGAAAAACCAAAUUUUUACACUAAAAAGUCAAACCUGGUACUAUUCAUUUUACCUUUUAUUUUGUCCUUAUCGUUAAAACUCAAAGUUUUCAAUCCCCUUUCAUUAGUUUUCCUUUAAUUUUUUCAUAUUUUUUAUUAGUGACUAUUUUCUUUGCAUUUUUUUUUUACUUAUAGUUGUUGACAAACUAUUAUCAGGUACAACAUAUUAUGUGUAUAUUGUCGUUGGGUACGUUUGAAUUUGUAAAAAACGUUGAUUGGUACGUUUAUUUGCGGUUUUGGUACGUUCGAUUUAGUAUAUAUUGUUGAUAUUGGUACAUUAUUUUCAGUUUUGGUACGUUCGAUUUUGUACACAUUAUUUACUGGUACGUUUAUAUUGUUGUUAGUCCUAUUUUUGGUACGUUUGAUUUCGUUGGAUUUAAAAAUAUUUUAAAUCGUUUUAAAAAAUUAAAUAUAUAUUAAAUCGUAGAUAAUCAUUGCUAACUUGUAGGAAGUAUUGUGAAAAUAAAUUGUAUUUAACUACUUAUUUUUUUUUACAAUUAUCUCCAAAGAGGGAGAGGGUAAUCAAAAUGCU
This 962-nucleotide long non-coding RNA is filed under the name Malus domestica (apple). RNAcentral's name for it is "long non-coding RNA (MDOM_LNC010130)". The record is from RNAcentral. Lineage: Eukaryota; Viridiplantae; Streptophyta; Magnoliopsida; Rosales; Rosaceae.